UACGUAGGGGGCAAGCGUUGUCCGGAAUUAUUGGGCGUAAAGCGAGCGCAGGCGGUUCCUUAAGUCUGAUGUGAAAGCCCACGGCUUAACCGUGGAGGGUCAUUGGAAACUGGGGAACUUGAGUGCAGAAGAGGAGAGUGGAAUUCCACGUGUAGCGGUGAAAUGCGUAGAUAUGUGGAGGAACACCAGUGGCGAAGGCGACUCUCUGGUCUGUAACUGACGCUGAGGCGCGAAAGCGUGGGGAGCGAACAGG
This 253-nucleotide ribosomal RNA is filed under the name uncultured bacterium. RNAcentral describes it as "partial 16S ribosomal RNA". It matches the Rfam family "Bacterial small subunit ribosomal RNA", at positions 524 to 776 of the family's 1533-position model. The record is from RNAcentral.